AUAAGCUACACCCACCACAACAAUUCAAUUAUCUCUCUCACUUUAUUCCACGUCUCUCUCUAAGCUAGGGCUCCUGAACUUGAUGACUUUCAGCGUUCUAUCUCAAAAAUUGACGGCAGUGGAGUGUUAACGGCGACGGUGAAUGACGGUAUUGAAGGUGAAUCAAGAAAUUUUCAUCUUCACUUACAUCUUCACUGAUUCAAGGUGGUUUUUUUUCCAGGUGGUUAAUAAAGAAAAUCAAUGGCAUCAAAAGGUCAUGGUAAUGGACGGCGUAAGAAAGGCAAGAAAGGACCUGAUAAUCUUCCCGUAGGUCAAUAUACACCACCACCACCAUCAUCAAAAGGAAUUAAAAAUGGGAGAAAAGAGAGCCCUUUUAUUGAUGUCUACGAAGAGACGCAUAGGAAGAAAAACAAGGACGGUACAAGAGAGAUUGGUUAGAGACGCGGGCUAAGAAUGCAUAUGAAGAAUUUCAAAAAAGCAUAGAAGAGUGGCGUCAAACCCAACUACGAGGAAGAUAAUGAAUCUGAUGAUAAUUAGAUUGUAGUUAUUGUUCUUGUUUUUGGUCGUGACAUUUACAUAUUUAAAUUAUUUGAUUUGAUGUUUGUUUUGAAUGGUUUAAAGUGGUUGUAUUUAUAAAUUUUUGUCGUGUUUGAUCCAGUUGUGAAAAAUAUAUUAGUUAUGUCAUUUAUAAUCUGAAAGCAGUGAAA
This is a long non-coding RNA of Capsicum annuum, 707 nucleotides long. RefSeq lists it as uncharacterized. Lineage: Eukaryota; Viridiplantae; Streptophyta; Magnoliopsida; Solanales; Solanaceae. The transcript has 4 exons. The record is from RefSeq and is a predicted model, not a curated record.